RNAcentral lists this ribosomal RNA (459 nucleotides) under uncultured Streptococcus sp. RNAcentral describes it as "bacterial SSU rRNA". It matches the Rfam family "Bacterial small subunit ribosomal RNA", at positions 341 to 792 of the family's 1533-position model. The record is from RNAcentral. Lineage: Bacteria; Bacillati; Bacillota; Bacilli; Lactobacillales; Streptococcaceae.
ACGGAAGGCAGCAGUAGGGAAUCUUCGGCAAUGGGGGCAACCCUGACCGAGCAACGCCGCGUGAGUGAAGAAGGUUUUCGGAUCGUAAAGCUCUGUUGUAAGAGAAGAACGUGUGUGAGAGUGGAAAGUUCACACAGUGACGGUAACUUACCAGAAAGGGACGGCUAACUACGUGCCAGCAGCCGCGGUAAUACGUAGGUCCCGAGCGUUGUCCGGAUUUAUUGGGCGUAAAGCGAGCGCAGGCGGUUUAAUAAGUCUGAAGUUAAAGGCAGUGGCUUAACCAUUGUUCGCUUUGGAAACUGUUAGACUUGAGUGCAGAAGGGGAGAGUGGAAUUCCAAGUGGAGCGGUGGAAUGCGUAGAUAUUUGGAGGAACACCAGUGGCGAAGGCGGCUUACUGGGCCGGAACUGACGCUGAGGCACGAAAGCGUAGGGAGCAAACAGGAUUAGAUACCCUGGUA